CACACGCUGCUCGUGAAAGCGACGGUUGGUCGCUAGAGACAGCGCUGAACGGAGAGUCGGCUGAUGCGGAUAUAAAGCCACGAAUGCGACUCUUCAUAAUGGGAUCAUGUUUCUUUCUGAUCAAAUCACAAGGUCAGAGAUGGGUCUUGUGGACAUAUAUCUAAAGGCAUCCUGCCUAACAUCUUUAUGAGAUUUACUAAGCAGCUGUAAUACACACACACACACACAUACACAUAUAUAAGCAUGGCACCAGUCCCACCUGGCACCCGCUUCCUGGCAUCCUUCAAUAGGGACCAAUGGUACAGGGCCUUCACGUUUGCACUCACGUUCCUGCUCUACACAAGCUUCCAUCUGUCCAGGAAGCCCAUCAGCA
This is a long non-coding RNA of Sinocyclocheilus rhinocerous, 373 nucleotides long. RefSeq lists it as uncharacterized. The record is from RefSeq and is a predicted model, not a curated record. The transcript is spliced from 3 exons. Lineage: Eukaryota; Metazoa; Chordata; Actinopteri; Cypriniformes; Cyprinidae.